Molecule: ribosomal RNA, 481 nt
Filed under: uncultured bacterium
Lineage: Bacteria
Description: bacterial SSU rRNA
Rfam family: Bacterial small subunit ribosomal RNA
Source: RNAcentral
UGGCGGCGUGCCUAACACAUGCAAGUCGAACGAGGAAAGCGGGGGCAACUCCGUGAGUAAAGUGGCAGACGGGUGAGUAACAUGUGAACAACCUACCCUGAGUGGGGAAUAACACCGCGAAAGCGGUGCUAAUACCGCAUAAUUUCCUUGGGCCGCAUGGCUUGAGGAUCAAAAGCGAAAGUUGCUUGAGGAGGGGUUCGCGCCUGAUUAGCUAGUUGGUGAGGUAACGGCCCACCAAGGCAACGAUCAGUAGCCGGCCUGAGAGGGCGAACGGCCACACUGGAACUGAGACACGGUCCAGACUCCUACGGGAGGCAGCAGUGGGGAAUUUUGCGCAAUGGGCGAAAGCCUGACGCAGCAACACCGCGUGGAGGAUGAAGGUCUUCGGAUCGUAAACUCCUGUCAGAGGGGAAGAAAGUCUCGCAAGAGGCCUGACUGUACCCUUUGAGGAAGCCACGGCCAACUCCGUGCCAGCAGCCGC